AUGGCCGCGCCUUCCGCCGUCGGCUGCUUCCUCGGCCUCGCCUUCCUGCUCUGCGGCGCCGUCCGUGGCGCGCUCGACGCGGAGGCCGCGCGGCAGCAGGCGGCGGACCGCGUGGGGCGGCUGCCGGGGCAGCCGGCCGUGAAGUUCGCGCAGUACGCCGGGUACGUGACCGUGAACGAGGCGCACGGCCGCGCGCUCUUCUACUGGUUCUUCGAGGCCAUCGCCGGCGCCGCCAAGAAGCCGCUCGUGCUCUGGCUCAACGGCGGGCCGGGCUGUUCGUCCAUCGGGUAUGGAGAGGCAGAGGAGCUCGGGCCCUUCUUGGUCCAGAAGGGCAAGCCGGAGCUGAAAUGGAACCCUUACUCGUGGAACAAAGAGGCUAACCUAAUGUUCUUGGAGUCCCCGGUGGGCGUCGGUUUCUCCUACACCAACACAAGCUCCGACCUGGGCAAGCUUGGUGACAAGAUCACCGCCGCCGACGCGUACGUCUUCCUGCUCAACUGGUUCAAGCGGUUCCCGCAGUACAAGCACCACGAGUUCUACAUCGCCGGGGAGAGUUACGCUGGGCAUUACGUUCCGCAGCUGUCGGAGAAGAUCUUCGACGGCAACAAGCACGGGCCCAAGGAGAACCGCAUCAACUUCAAGGGCCUCAUGAUAGGGAAUGCACUGAUGGACGACGAGACGGACCAGGCGGGCAUGGUCCAGUACGCGUGGGACCACGCCGUGAUCUCCGACCGGGUGUACGCCGACGUCAAGGCCCACUGCGACUUCGCCAUGGCCAACACCACCGCCGAGUGCGACCAGGCGCUGGAAGAGUACUUCGCCGUCUACCGCCUCAUCGACAUGUACAGCCUCUACACGCCCGUCUGCACCGACGGCUCCUCCUCCUCGCCGCUCGCCAAGAGGGUCGGCGUCCACGGCGCCGCCCCCAAGAUCUUCUCCAAAUAUCAUGGGUGGUACAUGAGACCUGCAGGCUACGAUCCCUGCACGACCCAAUACUCCGAGGUCUACUUCAACCGGCCGGAUGUCCAGGCGGCGCUGCACGCGAACGUGACCAAGAUCGGCUACAAUUGGACGCAUUGCAGCGACGUGAUCGGCAAGUGGAACGACGCCGUCCCCUCCACCCUCCCCAUCAUCCGCAAGCUCGUCGCCGGCGGAAUCAGGGUCUGGGUUUUCAGCGGUGACACCGAUGGGAGGAUCCCCGUGACGGCGACGAGGCUGACCCUGAACAAGCUCGGGCUCAAGACUGUCCAGGAGUGGACGCCGUGGUACGACCGGCUGCAGGUGGGUGGGUGGACGAUCACCUACGAGGGCCUCACGUUCGUGACGAUCCGCGGAGCCGGGCACGAGGUCCCUAUGCACACGCCGAGGCAGGCGCUCAGUCUCUUCAGCCACUUUUUGGGUGAUAAGAAGAUGCCGACGACGGCCUUCUCCUAG
Molecule: ribosomal RNA, 1434 nt
Filed under: Triticum aestivum (bread wheat)
Lineage: Eukaryota; Viridiplantae; Streptophyta; Magnoliopsida; Poales; Poaceae
Description: partial small subunit ribosomal RNA
Source: RNAcentral